This 468-nucleotide ribosomal RNA is filed under the name uncultured bacterium. Its description in RNAcentral is "partial 16S ribosomal RNA". It matches the Rfam family "Bacterial small subunit ribosomal RNA", at positions 28 to 507 of the family's 1533-position model. The record is from RNAcentral.
GACGAACGCUGGCGGCGUGCUUAACACAUGCAAGUCGAACGGAAAGGCCCUGCUUUGGGGGGGUGCUCGAGGGGCGAACGGGUGAGUAACACGUGAGUAACCUGCCCUUGACUUUGGGAUAACUUAAGGAAACUGGGGCUAAUACCGGAUAGGACUUCCUGCUGCAUGGGGGGGGUUGGAAAGUUUCGGCGGUUGGGGAUGGACUCGCGGCUUAUCAGCUUGUUGGUGGGGUAGUGGCUUACCAAGGCUUUGACGGGUAGCCGGCCUGAGAGGGUGACCGGCCACAUUGGGACUGGGAUACGGCCCAGACUCCUACGGGGGGCAGCAGUGGGGAAUAUUGCACAAUGGGCGGAAGCCUGAUGCAGCAACGCCGCGUGCGGGAUGACGGCCUUCGGUUUGUAAACCGCUUUCGCCUGUGACGAAGCGUGAGUGACGGUAAUGGGUAAAGAAGCACCGGCUAACUACGUG